GAGGGCAUAGCUCAGCCGUAGAACAUGUGCUUAGCAUGCACGAUGUCCUGGGUUCAAUCCCCAGUACCUCCA
RNAcentral lists this transfer RNA (72 nucleotides) under Camelus bactrianus (Bactrian camel). It matches the Rfam family "tRNA". Rfam says of the family: Transfer RNA (tRNA) molecules are approximately 80 nucleotides in length. Their secondary structure includes four short double-helical elements and three loops (D, anti-codon, and T loops). RNAcentral also lists the same sequence under 2 other names. The record is from Rfam by way of RNAcentral. Lineage: Eukaryota; Metazoa; Chordata; Mammalia; Artiodactyla; Camelidae.